RNAcentral lists this small nuclear RNA (104 nucleotides) under Physeter macrocephalus (sperm whale). Lineage: Eukaryota; Metazoa; Chordata; Mammalia; Artiodactyla; Physeteridae. The record is from RNAcentral.
AUGCACAUUUUGGCAGCACAUAUGCUAUAAUUGAAUGAUACAGAGGAGGUUACCAUACCCUGCACCAGGAUGACACACAAAUUCAUGAAGCAUUUAUGUAUCUU